CAACUAGAAUAAUAAAGAAUAAAGAGAAACAGGAAUUCAAUAGUGUGAAUGCCUUUGAGGCUUUACAGCAUCCACACAAUAAAACUGAUUUGAUUUGAAACUCAACAUUAGUGAAGCAGUGUGGCAUCAUCUUGAUAGAGAAUGGAACAAAAGGAAGCCAACAUCCAAAGAACUUUGGAAUAUCUUUCAAAAACCCUGAAAGAAUUAUUCCCUGCAAAAAUUACAAGAAAGCUUUCCCAGAAAGGUUCAGGCAAUAUUGAAGAACAAAGUGAUCUUACCAAAUAUUGACUUUCAAGCUGGUUAGAAUUUUACAAACACAAUUGUAACCUUAUACGUAUACUGCAUUUCCAAUUAUGUUGGGACUUAUUUAAAUACAUUUCUACACCUAUUUGUCAUUUCCCCAGCACAAUAUAGAGAAGUUAUGGGUGGCUCAAGACUUUUGCACAGCACUGUAAUACAUUUACCCUUGCUGAAACACAUUCAAAUGAAAUGAAAAAUGAGUAGCCAAUUUUGUUUUGCCUUUGUUUGGGAACACUGUUGUCCAUCUUACCCUAACCCUAACCCGACCUAAAUUUUGCACUGGAGGUAGAGCAGGUCUUCUACUAAUCACAGGUUAUACAUCCUUGAGUAAGAUACUAACCUUGAGUUGCUCUUGUAUGCAUCAAUCGGAGUAUGACAUUGUGUGAAUGUUAGAUAGAAAGCACUUUUUAAGUUUUUUAGGUGCACAUGUAACUGUUCAUUUACUUUUGUGUGUGUCCAGAGGAAGAUGGCCAGCCUAGAAGAGCAAACACUCAGGAAGAAACUGAAAAACGCAGUGAGCCAAUAUCAUGAUCCUCCCGUGCUGCUCCAUAUCGGUUUCCAAGGUGACUACAGCAUGACCCAUGGGCAGUGGUUUUCUAGUUUGUGUUGUUCCUACUUGCUCCUGUCCAAAUCAUCUGAAGAGUUAAGACACCCAUACCCAUCCCUGAAAGAGGAAUCAGACUGUUCCCUGCCACUGGGCAAAAACUUUGUAAAUGCAUAAUCUCUGUGUUCUAACAUUUUAUUGAUAUAUCAUUUAAAGAUAAAGGAACACACGUUAUUCCUUACAGUAUUUGUUGAUGACUUCUUUUAAUCCACUGUGGAGGAAUACUAGCGUAGUGAAGCUCUUUCCAUACAAACCCUUCUCCAGUCCUGUACGACAGCAUACUAGGCAUUUCAAAUCCAAAGUGUGAACAUGCAUCUUUAUAUACACUAAACCAUGUAGGGCUUUUUUUUUUUUUUUUUUUUUUUUUUUUUUUAACCUCAUUUUCUCAAGCAGAUUGUAAUAUUUAGCUUUAUGUAACUGAAUUUAUUUGGUGUACAAAUAUUGUGGUUGUCUGUGGCUGCCUAAAUGUCAAAAUGUCACCAUGGACAAAAUAACCAUUAGGCUAUGUUUUUAAAGAAUGGUGUUCUGGAAAAUAAGGGUGUUGCAGGGUAUGGAGCAGUUUACUAGUUGUUUUUUUUUUUUGCUUUUUGUUUGUUUGGCAAGGUGAAAUUUUUCAGUUUGCGUGGUUGUCUAUUUCAGUAGUACUGUAGGCACUGUGCUGUUCGAACAUUAACCCAGGGUGACCAAGCCAGGGAAAACAUCAGCAUCUUAUUAGGCUUAACUGGUACACAAAGUCCUUCACAUACAUUAUUGUCUAACCCAGUCUGAAUGCAAAUUUGUGGCUUUUAGGCUAUGGGCAUUUAAAGGUAAAAUGACAGGAAUGACUAAAUUUGACUAAAAUCUUCACAGUCACCCCUCCCCAUUGAGUUUGGGCUUUGAUUUUGGCAUUUGUCGUUGUUGCCAUCUUGUUUUAUUUUAUUUUUAAUAUAUGAUCGAAACCCAACAGUGGAGAUGGGAAGUUAUCAGCUAAUACUACCUAGUUUAGUUGGCGAGGUUCAUCCAUUAAUGACUUCAAUGUCAAUUGGGAUAGCAAUUGUUGCUAGUGAAAAUAACAAGAUGUACUCAAAGGAAAAAGUGAACACUGAACAAGACAUUUUUGUAAAACUUGUAAUUUGUGUAUAGCAGCAAAUCACUGACUGCCUGGAAGGUAGGACCAACAACCAAUAUGUUGAAAUAUUGGGAAGUUGAUGAGGGUUCUCAUCUUGUUCACGGCUUCACUUUGGUAGCUUGAACCCGACGCACAUUCCACCCUUAUCGUGUGAAGCCUGUUAUUGGUAGGUGACAGAGGAAUCAGGUCCUAAUUAGGUGCCAGGUUUCCAAAAAUCUUCAUGCAAGAUCAUUUUUUGUCUUUAUUUCCUGAAAGAAAGCAUAUUUACAAGUGAUGGUUCUACAAACAAUGAGAUGGUUGUGAUUUCUGUCGUGAUGGGUGGGUGGGUUUGCGAAAUGUAGUGGGUGAACAAAAUGACAACAGAAAAAAUGUUUAUGGGAUUUUCAUCUUCAUCUUUCUACCGUUUUUAUUUGCACAUGUAGCUGUGAACCUAGUAUGGAUUAAUAAUUGUAAUGUUGGGAAGAACAAAAGAAAUCAAACAAUAUGUAACUGCUUAAAUUUAACAAAUGGGUCUUAAAAAAGUAUUGCAACCAGUUUGAUGACCUGGUGAUACCUGUUCUCUCAUCAUUGCAUGAUAAAGUAAUCAGAUAAAAUAUUCAGAUGUGAUUCAAGGAUUGAACUUAUAUUUGGCACCUUGUCCCCUGAAUCCUUAAUAUGAGGUCCAGAGAUCUUGAUGCACAUGAAGGAGGCCAUAAUUUGGCUUAAAAACCAACUUAAAUCUAUCAGAGAGCAAGCAAGAACUUUAGCAGUGACCAUAUCAGAGAUGUGGUACAUUCCUAAAAAGCAGGAAUGCACUGGCCACAGAAGACAACUAAAGUGGAUGCUUGUUGUACUCUUUCUUUGGUUCAGAAAAACACAACAUCUAGCCAUCUGCCUAUGAUUGUCAUGGUCUACAAUCAAGACAUUCCUUCACGAAUGUGAAUACAGGUUUACAACAAGGUCCAAAUACUGGUUACACUCAAGAGCAGGGAGUUAAAAAUUGAAAAAGCCAGAAAACCUCUUACGGAGCCAAGAGGUCUUCUCUGGGGAAAAAAAAACAAUCCUUUCCUUUGGACAGAUGAAAUCAA
Long non-coding RNA from Oreochromis niloticus (Nile tilapia), 3079 nucleotides. RefSeq lists it as uncharacterized. The record is from RefSeq and is a predicted model, not a curated record. The transcript has 2 exons. Lineage: Eukaryota; Metazoa; Chordata; Actinopteri; Cichliformes; Cichlidae.